This 69-nucleotide transfer RNA is filed under the name Ambystoma laterale (blue-spotted salamander). RNAcentral's name for it is "tRNA-Asp". Lineage: Eukaryota; Metazoa; Chordata; Amphibia; Caudata; Ambystomatidae. The record is from RNAcentral.
GAGAUAUUAGUAAAACCAUUACAAAUCCUUGUCAAGGAUUCAUUACUAGUUAAAACCUUGUAUACCUCU